RNAcentral lists this ribosomal RNA (466 nucleotides) under uncultured bacterium. RNAcentral's name for it is "partial 16S ribosomal RNA". It matches the Rfam family "Bacterial small subunit ribosomal RNA", at positions 29 to 507 of the family's 1533-position model. The record is from RNAcentral.
ACGAACGCUGGCGGCGUGCUUAACCCAUGCCAGUCGAACGGAAAGGCCUCUUUCGGGGGGUACUCGAGUGGCGAACGGGUGAGUAACACGUGAGUAACCUGCCCUUGACUUUGGGAUAACUUCAGGAAACUGGGGCUAAUACCGGAUAGGAGCUCCUGCUGCAUGGUGGGGGUUGGAAAGUUUCGGCGGUUGGGGAUGGACUCGCGGCUUAUCAGCUUGUUGGUGGGGUAGUGGCUUACCAAGGCUUUGACGGGUAGCCGGCCUGAGAGGGUGACCGGCCACAUUGGGACUGAGAUACGGCCCAGACUCCUACGGGAGGCAGCAGUGGGGAAUAUUGCACAAUGGGUGGAAGCCUGAUGCAGCAACGCCGUGUGCGGGAUGACGGCCUUCGGGUUGUAAACCGCUUUCGCUCAUGACGAAGCUUUGUGUGACGGUAGUGGGUAAAGAAGCACCGGCUAACUACGUG